UACGUAGGGGGCUAGCGUUGUCCGGAUUUAUUGGGCGUAAAGCGAGCGCAGGCGGUUCCUUAAGUCUGAUGUGAAAGCCCUCGGCUCAACCGGGGAAGGUCCUUGGAAACUGGGGAACUUGAGUGCUGAAGAGGAGAGUGGAAUUCCAUGUGUAGCGGUGAAAUGCUUAGAUAUAUGGAGGAACACCAGUGGCGAAGGCGGCUCUCUGGUCUGUAACUGACGCUGAGGCACGAAAGCGUGGGGAGCAAACAGG
Molecule: ribosomal RNA, 253 nt
Filed under: uncultured bacterium
Lineage: Bacteria
Description: partial 16S ribosomal RNA
Rfam family: Bacterial small subunit ribosomal RNA
Source: RNAcentral